Molecule: ribosomal RNA, 249 nt
Filed under: uncultured bacterium
Lineage: Bacteria
Description: partial 16S ribosomal RNA
Rfam family: Bacterial small subunit ribosomal RNA
Source: RNAcentral
GAGGAUGCAAGCGUUAUCCGGAAUGAUUGGGCGUAAAGCGUCCGCAGGUGGCUGUGUAAGUCUGCUGUUAAAGAGUGAGGCUCAACCUCAUAAAGGCAGUGGAAACUACAUGGCUAGAGUGCGUUCGGGGCAGAGGGAAUUCCUGGUGUAGCGGUGAAAUGCGUAGAGAUCAGGAAGAACACCGGUGGCGAAAGCGCUCUGCUAGGCCGCAACUGACACUGAGGGACGAAAGCUAGGGGAGCGAAUGGG